Molecule: ribosomal RNA, 838 nt
Filed under: Desulfovibrio sp. PR9_D08
Lineage: Bacteria; Pseudomonadati; Thermodesulfobacteriota; Desulfovibrionia; Desulfovibrionales; Desulfovibrionaceae
Description: bacterial SSU rRNA
Rfam family: Bacterial small subunit ribosomal RNA
Source: RNAcentral
AGUGGCGCACGGGUGNGUAACGCGUGGAUAAUCUACCUAUUGGUACGGGACAACAGUUGGAAACGACUGCUAAUACCGUAUAAGCUGGAAACGGGAAAGGGGGCCUCUUCUUGAAAGCUCUCGCCAGUAGAUGAGUCCGCGUUUCAUUAGCUAGACGGUGGGGUAACGGCCUACCGUGGCAACGAUGAAUAGCAGGCCUGAGAGGGUGGCCUGCCACACUGGGACUGGAACACGGCCCAGACUCCUACGGGAGGCAGCAGUGGGGAAUAUUGCGCAAUGGACGAAAGUCUGACGCAGCGACGCCGCGUGGAGGAUGAAGGUUUUCGGAUCGUAAACUCCUGUCAAGAGGGAAGAAACCUAUUAAGAAUAAUACUCUUAGUAAUUGACGGUACCUCUAGAGGAAGCACCGGCUAAUUCAGUGCCAGCAGCCGCGGUAAUACUGAAGGUGCAAGCGUUAAUCGGAAUCACUGGGCGUAAAGCGCUCGUAGGUGGCUUUGUAAGUCAGAUGUGAAAGCCCACGGCUCAACCGUGGAAUUGCAUUUGAUACUGCAUCGCUAGAGUAUAGGAGAGGGAAGUGGAAUUUCUGGUGUAGGAGUGAAAUCCGUAGAGAUCAGAAGGAACACCGGUGGCGAAGGCGACUUCCUGGACUAUUACUGACACUGAGGAGCGAAAGCGUGGGGAGCAAACAGGAUUAGAUACCCUGGUAGUCCACGCCGUAAACGAUGGGUACUAAGUGUCGGAGGCUUGACCUUCGGUGCUGUAGUUAACGCGUUAAGUACCCCGCCUGGGGAGUACGGUCGCAAGGCUGAAACUCAAAGAAAUUGACGGGGGCCCGCAC